This 26-nucleotide non-coding RNA is filed under the name Mus musculus (house mouse). The record is from RNAcentral. Lineage: Eukaryota; Metazoa; Chordata; Mammalia; Rodentia; Muridae.
UGUGAAUCCAGCCAGGAAUGUGUGUC